UGCAAAGAUCGUAGAGGGACAAGAUAGACCACUCCUCGAAAAACGCGUAGUAUGACGUGUGUGACCGUCGACGCCAUAUUGUUAAGCAUUUAUUGGGCUGUAAUGGCGUCCUCAGCUAAAUCUACAUCUCACUGCUCCGCUAUCAACUGUUCUAAUCGUAAAUCUAAACGACCAGAGCUGUCAUUCUUUAGGUUCCCCAAUAAAAAAGAAAGAUGUCAACAGUGGGUCCAGAAUACUCAUCGACAAGAUCUCCUGCACCGAACUGCAGAGUAUUUGUCAAAUAACUGCCGUCUUAUGUACAUUGUGUGAAAUUGUGAUUUGUUAACUGCACAAAACUAAUGCAAAUGGCGAUACAUGCCUGCAUUUGGCCCAUACCCCUCUAAACCUGUCCUAACCAUCAAAUAACCUAACAGAACUGUCAUGAGGAAAGAUUUAAAAGACUAGGCUUGUAUUCACUGGAGUUUAGAAGGAUGAGGGGGGAUCUUAUCAUAUUGUUUACAGUGUACUAUGUUUACAGAUUCUGUUGUGCUGCUGAAAGUAAGAAUUUAAUUGUUCUAUCUGGGACAAGCUAGAUGCAGGAAAAUUGUUCUACAUGACAAUAAAACCCUCUUGUUAGAUGCAAGGGGAUCUUAUAGAAACAUCUAAAUGAAUAAAAGGACUGAACAAGCUAGAUACAGGAAAAAUGUUCCCAAUGUUGGGCGAGUCCAGAACCAGGGGCCACAGUCUUAGAACAAAGGGGAGGCCAUUUAAGACUGAGGUGAGAAAAAACUUUUUCACCCAGAGAGUUGUGAAUUUGUGGAAUUCCCUGCCACAGAGGGCAGUGGAGGCCAAAUCACUGGGUGGAUUUAAGAGAGAGUUAGAUAGAUCUCUAGGGGCUAGUGGAAUCAAGGGGAUAUGGGGAGAAGGCAGGCAUGGGUUAUCGAUUGGGGCUGAUCAGCCAUGAUCACAAUGAAUGGCGGUGUUGGGUCGAAGUGCCAAAUGGCCUCCUCCUGCACCUAUUUUCUAUAUUUCUAAAACACUCAUCCAGCAAUCCUCGAGCCCACCAGCUCAUCCCGUAGUCAAUUCAUCAGCUUUUCCAUAAGAACUUUCAUCAGUUCUUGCAAAAGAAUGACAAUCAGCCAAUCUCGAUUACCCUCAGCCCAUCAAGCAGUCCCUUAAUUCGCACAGAAGUCUGAACUAUUGAAUGCUCACUGCAUCUCUUUCCAUGUCAGCAAGUUAAUAUCCAGCUGCAUAUGAACCAUGUGAAAAAUGAAUAAAUAGAUGCAUGUGGUGCAGUGAUUUGUGCAGCACUAUAGGCCUGGAGACCAAGAGGAGUUUACCAUUGAACGGAGUUUGAACGGGGGGCUUGAGGCCCCCGACCGAGGAAGAACAAAAGGAAGGGACUUGAACUUUAUUUCGCCUUCCAUCACAGUGAGGAAUGUGUAGGAGUCACUUUGGUGAAUGUCCGUAUUAAAAUGUGUUUUUGAGUGCUGUUGCUUUUAAUUGUAUGACUGACCUGGCCAAUGAAAUUCCUCGUAUAUUGCAAAACAUACUUGGAAAAUAAAAUCUGAUUAUGAUUCUGAAAA
Long non-coding RNA from Leucoraja erinaceus (little skate), 1565 nucleotides. RefSeq lists it as uncharacterized. The record is from RefSeq and is a predicted model, not a curated record. The transcript has 2 exons. NCBI's taxonomy places the organism in Eukaryota, Metazoa, Chordata, Chondrichthyes, Rajiformes, Rajidae.